RNAcentral lists this unclassified non-coding RNA (383 nucleotides) under Hevea brasiliensis (rubber tree). The record is from RNAcentral. Lineage: Eukaryota; Viridiplantae; Streptophyta; Magnoliopsida; Malpighiales; Euphorbiaceae.
AAUCUUAGAAACAUGAACAGUGACGCUCCUUAUUCACUAUGCAUAUAUUUCUUGAUUUGGCAUUGACCAUGAGUCACAUGCACCAUUAAGGAACAAUAAUGAAACUAAAAACAAAAAGUAAAGCAACACUUCUCGCAAUGAGCGAAAAACAAUACACCAGUAUUAACCCUGCUAAUUCUGAACUUAAAACAAUAUUAAAAUUACAGGAGUACUUUUCCUGUAAUUUUCCUUAGAUGCAAAUGCACCAAAAUUACAGUGUAAAUAUUGCAUGUUCUCAUUUUUAAACAUUCACAACAUGGCAGUAAUCUUAUUAUAGAAAACGACAACAAUUGCUGCAUUUUACGCAACUGCAAGUAUGGAAGAUGGACAAAAUUUCCUGCUUG